This 119-nucleotide ribosomal RNA is filed under the name Triticum aestivum (bread wheat). Lineage: Eukaryota; Viridiplantae; Streptophyta; Magnoliopsida; Poales; Poaceae. The record is from RNAcentral. RNAcentral also lists the same sequence under 1 other name.
CGAUGUGAUCAUACCAGCACUAAAGCACCGGAUCCCAUCAAAACUCCGAAGUUAAGCGUGCUUGGGCAAGAGUAGUACUAGGAUGGGUGACCUCCUGGGAAGUCCUCGUGUUGCAUUCC